This 253-nucleotide ribosomal RNA is filed under the name uncultured bacterium. RNAcentral's name for it is "partial 16S ribosomal RNA". It matches the Rfam family "Bacterial small subunit ribosomal RNA", at positions 524 to 776 of the family's 1533-position model. The record is from RNAcentral.
UACGUAGGUGGCAAGCGUUGUCCGGAUUUAUUGAGCGUAAAGCGCGCGCAGGUGGUGCGGUAAGUCUGCCGUGAAAUCUCCCGGCUCAACUGGGAGGGGGCGGUGGAGACUGCCGGACUGGAGGGACUCAGAGGCCGGUGGAAUUCCCGGUGUAGUGGUGAAAUGCGUAGAGAUCGGGAGGAACACCAGUGGCGAAGGCGGCCGGCUGGGGGUGCCCUGACGCUGAGGCGCGAAAGCGUGGGGAGCAAACAGG